CCUACGGGGGGCAGCAGUGGGGAAUAUUGGACAAUGGGGGAAACCCUGAACCAGCAACGCCGCGUGAGUGAUGAAGUAUUUCGGUAUGGAAAGCUGUAUUAGCAGGGAAGAAGAUGACGUUACCUGAUUGAGUAGCCCUGGCUAACUACGUGCCAGCAGCCGCGUUAAUGCGUAGGGGGCCAGCGUUAUCCGGAUUUACUGGGUGUUAAGGGGGCGCAAUCGGGAGCGAGAGUCUGGAGGGAAAGUCCGGGGCCGAACCCCGGACCUGCUCUGGAAACUGGGCGGCUAGAGUACUGGAGGGGCAGGCGGAAUGCCUGGUGUAGCGGUGAAAUGCGUAGAUAUCAGGCGGAACACCAGUGGCGAAGGCAGCAUACUGGCCUGUAACUGACGUUGAGGCUCGAAAGCGUGGGGAGCAAACAGGAUUAGAUACCCCAGUAGUC
RNAcentral lists this ribosomal RNA (440 nucleotides) under uncultured bacterium. Its description in RNAcentral is "partial 16S ribosomal RNA". It matches the Rfam family "Bacterial small subunit ribosomal RNA", at positions 338 to 795 of the family's 1533-position model. The record is from RNAcentral.